RNAcentral lists this non-coding RNA (80 nucleotides) under unclassified sequences. RNAcentral's name for it is "skipping-rope RNA". It matches the Rfam family "skipping-rope RNA". Rfam says of the family: Firmicutes, Fusobacteria, AlphaProteobacteria, Spirochaetes. The record is from Rfam by way of RNAcentral.
AGGGAUUGAAGUGGAGAUAGUGCUGCCACGCACCUUAUGGGUCAAAAGAAAUGUAGGAAAGGGCACACCUACCAAUACCU